This 201-nucleotide long non-coding RNA is filed under the name Elaeis guineensis (African oil palm). RNAcentral describes it as "long non-coding RNA (EGUI_LNC059289)". Lineage: Eukaryota; Viridiplantae; Streptophyta; Magnoliopsida; Arecales; Arecaceae. The record is from RNAcentral.
CCGUGAUUUGCGCGGCCAUAAUCUUAGUUAAAUUGGGAGUCCCUAUGCUUGCUUCUUUCUUUUUUUUUCCAUGAAGAGGGCCUCAUUAUGGCUCGAGACCCCUUGCUCCUUUUUUCUGCCUUCCUCGUUAAGCAUACAAUCUUUCACCAUUGCCAAGACUAUCGAACCCUCCAGUAAAAAAUUACUUAGAGACACCAUCAG